This 264-nucleotide ribosomal RNA is filed under the name uncultured Staphylococcus sp. Its description in RNAcentral is "partial 16S ribosomal RNA". It matches the Rfam family "Bacterial small subunit ribosomal RNA", at positions 96 to 354 of the family's 1533-position model. Lineage: Bacteria; Bacillati; Bacillota; Bacilli; Caryophanales; Staphylococcaceae. The record is from RNAcentral.
CGGCGGACGGGUGAGUAACACGUGGAUAACCUACCUAUAAGACUGGGAUAACUUCGGGAAACCGGAGCUAAUACCGGAUAAUAUAUUGAACCGCAUGGUUCAAUGGUGAAAGACGGUUUUGCUGUCACUUAUAGAUGGAUCCGCGCCGCAUUAGCUAGUUGGUAAGGUAACGGCUUACCAAGGCAACGAUGCGUAGCCGACCUGAGAGGGUGAUCGGCCACACUGGAACUGAGACACGGUCCAGACUCCUACGGGAGGCAGCAG